This 498-nucleotide ribosomal RNA is filed under the name uncultured bacterium. Its description in RNAcentral is "partial 16S ribosomal RNA". It matches the Rfam family "Bacterial small subunit ribosomal RNA", at positions 28 to 507 of the family's 1533-position model. The record is from RNAcentral.
GACGAACGCUGGCGGCGUGCCUAAUACAUGCAAGUCGAGCGGACGGAUGGGAACUUGCUCCCAGACCGUCAGCGGCGGACGAGUGAGUAACACGUGGGCAACCUGCCUGUAAGACUGGGAUAACUCCGGGAAACCGGGGCUAAUACCGGAUAACUCUUUCCCUCACCUGAGGGCAAGCUGAAAGAUGGCAUCUCGCUAUCACUUACAGAUGGGCCCGCGUCGCAUUAGCUAGUUGGUGAGGUACCGGCUCACCAAGGCGACGAUGCGUAGCCGACCUGAGAGGGUGAUCGGCCACACUGGGACUGAGACACGGCCCAGACUCCUACGGGAGGCAGCAGUAGGGAAUCUUCCGCAAUGGACGAAAGUCUGACGGAGCAACGCCGCGUGAGUGAUGAAGGUUUUCGGAUCGUAAAACUCUGUUGUCAGGGAAGAACAAGUACCGGAGUAACUGCCGGUACCUUGACGGUACCUGACCAGAAAGCCACGGCUAACUACGUG